GACGGGGGAUGCAAGCGUUAUGCGGAAUCACUGGGCGUAAAGCGUCUGUAGGUGGUGAUGCAAGUCACUGGUGCAAAACUCUGGCUCAACCGGAGGAAAGCCAGUGAAACUGCAUGACUAGAGUGUGGGAGAGGUAGAAGGAAUUCCCUGAGUAGCGGUGAAAUGCGUAGAUACAGGGAAGAACACCGGAGGCGAAAGCGUUCUACUGGAACACAACUGACACUGAGAGGCGAAAGCUAGGGGAGCGCAUGGG
Molecule: ribosomal RNA, 253 nt
Filed under: uncultured bacterium
Lineage: Bacteria
Description: partial 16S ribosomal RNA
Rfam family: Bacterial small subunit ribosomal RNA
Source: RNAcentral